Molecule: ribosomal RNA, 326 nt
Filed under: uncultured bacterium
Lineage: Bacteria
Description: bacterial SSU rRNA
Rfam family: Bacterial small subunit ribosomal RNA
Source: RNAcentral
GACGAACGCUGGCGGCGUGCCUAAUACAUGCAAGUCGAACGCUUCUUUCCUCCCGAGUGCUUGCACUCAAUUGGAAAGAGGAGUGGCGGACGGGUGAGUAACACGUGGGUAACCUACCUUGUAGCGGGGGAUAACUAUUGGAAACGAUAGCUAAUACCGCAUAACAAUGGAUGACACAUGUCAUUUAUUUGAAAGGGGCAAUUGCUCCACUACAAGAUGGACCUGCGUUGUAUUAGCUAGUAGGUGAGGUAAUGGCUCACCUAGGCGACGAUACAUAGCCGACCUGAGAGGGUGAUCGGCCACACUGGGACUGAGACACGGCCCAG